This 497-nucleotide ribosomal RNA is filed under the name uncultured bacterium. RNAcentral's name for it is "partial 16S ribosomal RNA". It matches the Rfam family "Bacterial small subunit ribosomal RNA", at positions 28 to 507 of the family's 1533-position model. The record is from RNAcentral.
GAUGAACGCUGGCGGCGUGCCUAAUACAUGCAAGUCGAGCGAACAGACGAGGAGCUUGCUCCUCUGACGUUAGCGGCGGACGGGUGAGUAACACGUGGAUAACCUACCUAUAAGACUGGGAUAACUUCGGGAAACCGGAGCUAAUACCGGAUAAUAUAUUGAACCGCAUGGUUCAAUAGUGAAAGACGGUUUUGCUGUCACUUAUAGAUGGAUCCGCGCCGCAUUAGCUAGUUGGUAAGGUAACGGCUUACCAAGGCGACGAUGCGUAGCCGACCUGAGAGGGUGAUCGGCCACACUGGAACUGAGACACGGACCAGACGCCUACGGGAGGCAGCAGUAGGGAAUCUUCCGCAAUGGGCGAAAGCCUGACGGAGCAACGCCGCGUGAGUGAUGAAGGUCUUCGGAUCGUAAAACUCUGUUAUGAGGGAAGAACAAAUGUGUAAGUAACUAUGCACGUCUUGACGGUACCUAAUCAGAAAGCCACGGCUAACUACGUG